RNAcentral lists this transfer RNA (75 nucleotides) under Kordiimonadales bacterium. Its description in RNAcentral is "tRNA-Gln". It matches the Rfam family "tRNA". From Rfam's summary of the family: Transfer RNA (tRNA) molecules are approximately 80 nucleotides in length. Lineage: Bacteria; Pseudomonadati; Pseudomonadota; Alphaproteobacteria; Kordiimonadales. RNAcentral also lists the same sequence under 1 other name. The record is from RNAcentral.
UGGGGCGUCGCCAAGCGGUAAGGCACUGGUUUUUGGUAUCAGUAUUCGCAGGUUCGAUCCCUGCCGCCCCAGCCA